This 904-nucleotide ribosomal RNA is filed under the name uncultured bacterium. Its description in RNAcentral is "bacterial SSU rRNA". It matches the Rfam family "Bacterial small subunit ribosomal RNA", at positions 50 to 926 of the family's 1533-position model. The record is from RNAcentral.
UAGAAUGCCAGUUCGAACGGGAACUUAAUCUGUAGCAAUACAGGGUUAAGCUUUAGUGGCGNACGGGAUGCGUAACACGGUGGGCAAUCUGCCGAAAAGUGGGGGAUAGCUCGCCGAAAGGCGAAUUAAUACCGCAUGUGAUGAGAGGCGACAUCGUCUUGAAAUCAAAGCCGGGGCAACCUGGCGCUUUUUGAGGAGCCCGCGGCCUAUCAGCUAGUUGGUGAGGUAACGGCUCACCAAGGCCAUGACGGGUAGCUGGUCUGAGAGGACGACCAGUCACACUGGAACUGAGACACGGUCCAGACACCUACGGGUGGCAGCAGUCGAGAAUUUUUCUCAAUGGGGGCAACCCUGAAGGAGCGACGCCGCGUGGAGGAUGAAGGCUUUCGGGUUGUAAACUCCUGUCAUUUGAGAACAAGUGUGGCCAAGUAACUACUGGCUACUUGAUAGUAUCAGAAGAGGAAGAGACGGCUAACUCUGUGCCAGCAGCCGCGGUAAUACAGAGGUCUCAAGCGUUGUUCGGAUUCAUUGGGCGUAAAGGGUGCGUAGGUGGCGCCAUAAGUCGGGUGUGAAAUUUCGGAGCUUAACUCCGAAACUGCAUUCGAUACUGUGGUGCUUGAGGACUGGAGAGGAGACUGGAAUUCACGGUGUANCAGUGAAAUGCGUAGAGAUCGUGAGGAAGACCAGUGGCGAAAGGCGGGUCUCUGGACAGUUCCUGACACUGAGGCACGAAGGCCCAGGGGAGCCAACGGGAUUAGAUACCCCGGNUAGUCCUGGCAGUAAACGGUGCACGUUUGGUGUGGGGGGAAUUCAACCCCUUCCGCGCCGGAACUAACGCGUUAAACGUGCCGCCUGGGGAGUAACGUCCCAAAAUUAAACUCAAAAAAUUGACGGGGCCCCCCAA